This 443-nucleotide ribosomal RNA is filed under the name uncultured bacterium. Its description in RNAcentral is "partial 16S ribosomal RNA". It matches the Rfam family "Bacterial small subunit ribosomal RNA", at positions 338 to 795 of the family's 1533-position model. The record is from RNAcentral.
CCUACGGGUGACAGCAGUGGGGAAUAUUGGACAAUGGGGGGAACCCUGAUCCAGCGACGCCGCGUGAGUGAAGAAGUAUUUCGGUAUGUAAAGCUCUAUCAGCAGGGAAGAAAGAAAUGACGGUACCUGACUAAGAAGCCCCGGCUAACUACGUGCCAGCAGCCGCGGUAAUACGUAGGGGGCAAGCGUUAUCCGGAUUCACUGGGUGUAAAGGGAGCGUAGACGGCGAGACAAGUCUGGAGUGAAAGGCCGGGGCCCAACCCCGGGACUGCUCUGGAAACUGCCUGGCUGGAGUACAGGAGAGGUAAGUGGAAUUCCUAGUGUAGCGGUGAAAUGCGUAGAUAUUAGGAGGAACACCAGUGGCGAAGGCGGCUUACUGGACUGUAACUGACGUUGAGGCUCGAAAGCGUGGGGAGCAAACAGGAUUAGAUACCCGGGUAGUC